Molecule: long non-coding RNA, 111 nt
Organism: Maniola jurtina (meadow brown)
Lineage: Eukaryota; Metazoa; Arthropoda; Insecta; Lepidoptera; Nymphalidae
Exons: 3
Source: RefSeq, a predicted model, not a curated record
UAUAGCUGUGACAGCCUACUGGUUAGGACGUCUGCCUCCUAAUGGGAGGUCGUUGGUUCGUUCCCGGACACGCACCUCUAACUUUUCGCAGUUGGUGAAGGAAAACACCGU